AAACGUUUGCCCCGGGUCCGCGACGGCUGUACGGGGCGGCCGGGCCCGGGGCCGGCUUGCUGCGCAGAGCCACCGGCGGCUCCUGUUUCGCCGGACUUGAAUCUUUUGCCUGGCCGCAACCCGCCAGCCUGCAAUCGGUGGAGACACAGAGCACCAGCUCAGAGGAGAUGGUGCCCAGCUCGCCCUCGCCCCCUCCGCCUCCUCGGGUCUACAAGCCAUGCUUCGUGUGCAAUGACAAGUCCUCUGGCUACCACUAUGGGGUCAGCUCUUGUGAAGGCUGCAAGGUGUGUACGUGGUGGGGGUGGGCAGACGGGGGAUCCAGUUACCCUAGUAAGAUGAGAGACCAGGCACACAGAUGCUGUGUGUGAGCAGCACUGCUUUGCACAUAGGUGGUUAAUAGAUUAGGUCAGGCCUGGGGCAACCUGCAAGGCCAGUGAGAGGCUGGUACUCCCAGCAUUGUGCUUCAGAGGCCCUCUCUCUUUCCCUCAACUCCAGGGCUUCUUUCGCCGAAGCAUCCAGAAGAACAUGGUGUACACGUGUCACCGCGACAAAAACU
RNAcentral lists this small RNA (556 nucleotides) under Pongo abelii (Sumatran orangutan). RNAcentral's name for it is "retained intron". The record is from RNAcentral. Lineage: Eukaryota; Metazoa; Chordata; Mammalia; Primates; Hominidae.